RNAcentral lists this long non-coding RNA (886 nucleotides) under Phasianus colchicus (ring-necked pheasant). RNAcentral describes it as "lncRNA (ENSPCLG00000015062.1)". Lineage: Eukaryota; Metazoa; Chordata; Aves; Galliformes; Phasianidae. The record is from RNAcentral.
GUUAUGGGGUCAGUAUGGGGUGUGGAACUGCUGGGGUUAUGGGGUCAGUAUGGGGUGUGAGGUCCUGAAGCUUAUGGGGUCACUACGGGGUGUGGGGUCCUGGAGGUUAUGGGGUCAGUACAGGGUGUGGAACUGCUGGGGUUAUGGGGUCAGUAUGGGGUGUGGAAUCCCGGGGGUUUUGGGGUCCCUGCGGGAUGUGGGGUCCCUGGAGUUGUGCUGUAGGACCGGGAUGUGGGGUCUGUGAUCGCGCUGUAGGACCGGGAUGUGGGGUCCGCAGUCGCGCUGUAGGACCGGGAUGUGGGGUCCGCAGUCGCGCUGUAGGACCGGAUGCGGGGUGUGCGGUUGGACGGCGGCAGUUCGUGGCGCCCCGCGGUGCCGCUCGGAGCCGCGCUGUUGGCGCUGUGCGGCGGCCGCGCAUCUCCGCCCCCGGGCGGCGCGGCGCCAACAGCAACGUUUGUCUGCCGCCCGCCGCUCGGCGCGGCUCGCGGGUCGGCGCUGCUCGUGGGGUCAGCGAUGAUUGUGGGGCUGCCGGUGUUAUGGGGUCGGCGCUGCUGUCGUGGGGUCAGCGGUGCUUUCAUGUGGGGUCAGCGCUGCUUAUGGGGUCAGCGAUGCUUUUGUGGGGUCAGCGCUGCUUUCAUGGGGUCAGCAAUGCUUAUGGGGUCAGCACUGCUUAUGGGGUCAGCGCUGCUUGUGGGGUCAGCACUGCACAUGGGGUCAGCGAUGCUUAUGGGGUCAGCACUGCUUGUGGGGUCAGCGAUGCUUUUAAGGGGGGUCAGCGAUGCUUGUGGGUUCAGCACUGCUUAUGGGGUCAGCAGUGUUUAUGGGGUCAGCGCUGCACGUGGGGUCAGCAAUGCUUGUGGGGUCAGCAAUGCUUGUGGGGUCAGCA